This 242-nucleotide non-coding RNA is filed under the name Liquorilactobacillus ghanensis. RNAcentral describes it as "Lactobacillus ghanensis T-box sequence". It matches the Rfam family "T-box leader". Rfam says of the family: Uncharged tRNA acts as the effector for transcription antitermination of genes in the T-box leader family. T-boxes are found upstream of many aminoacyl-tRNA synthetase genes and some amino acid biosynthetic genes usually in Gram-positive bacteria. Lineage: Bacteria; Bacillati; Bacillota; Bacilli; Lactobacillales; Lactobacillaceae. The record is from RNAcentral.
GAAAAAGCUGUGAGCGAAUGAGUAAUUUAAAAAUUUUCUAUUAGAGAGCAAUUGGUUGGUGCAAAAUUGCGAAAAUUUUAAAUGAAACACUUUUGUGAGCUGAUAAGUUGAACACUUGUAGUAAGCUAGUAAACUUUUCCGGAAGCGCCGUUACCCCUUAAAAGUUUGGUUGAACUUGAUGAGUCUGUUAGUGUGAGCUGACAGAGUACAUGAGGUGGUACCGCGUGUUAUGCGCCCUCUUA